This 497-nucleotide ribosomal RNA is filed under the name uncultured bacterium. RNAcentral describes it as "partial 16S ribosomal RNA". It matches the Rfam family "Bacterial small subunit ribosomal RNA", at positions 28 to 507 of the family's 1533-position model. The record is from RNAcentral.
GAUGAACGCUGGCGGCGUGCCUAAUACAUGCAAGUCGAGCGAACGGACGAGACGCUUGCUUCUCUGAUGUUAGCGGCGGACGGGUGAGUAACACGUGGAUACCCUACCUAUAAGACUGGGAUCACUUCGGGAAACCGGAGCUAAUACCGGAUAAUAUUUUGAACCGCAUGGUUCAAAAGUGAAAGACGGUCUUGCUGUCACUUAUAGAUGGAUCCGCGCUGCAUUAGCUAGUUGGUAAGGUAACGGCUUACCAAGGCAACGAUGCAUAGCCGACCUGAGAGGGUGAUCGGCCACACUGGAACUGAGACACGGUCCAGACUCCUACGGGAGGCAGCAGUAGGGAAUCUUCCGCAAUGGGCGAAAGCCUGACGGAGCAACGCCGCGUGAGUGAUGAAGGUCUUCGGAUCGUAAAACUCUGUUAUUAGGGAAGAACAUAUGUGUAAGUAACUGUGCACAUCUUGACGGUACCUAAUCAGAAAGCCACGGCUAACUACGUG